RNAcentral lists this transfer RNA (76 nucleotides) under Sulfurivirga caldicuralii. RNAcentral's name for it is "tRNA-Met". It matches the Rfam family "tRNA". Rfam says of the family: Transfer RNA (tRNA) molecules are approximately 80 nucleotides in length. Their secondary structure includes four short double-helical elements and three loops (D, anti-codon, and T loops). Lineage: Bacteria; Pseudomonadati; Pseudomonadota; Gammaproteobacteria; Thiotrichales; Piscirickettsiaceae. The record is from RNAcentral.
GCCCCCUUAGCUCAGCGGUUAGAGCUGCCGACUCAUAAUCGGUAGGUCGCUGGUUCGAAUCCAGCAGGGGGCACCA